UACAGAGGUCUCAAGCGUUGUUCGGAUUCAUUGGGCGUAAAGGGUGCGUAGGUGGCGCCGUAAGUCGGGUGUGAAAUUUCGGAGCUUAACUCCGAAACUGCAUUCGAUACUGCGGUGCUUGAGGACUGGAGAGGAGACUGGAAUUCAUGGUGUAGCAGUGAAAUGCGUAGAGAUCAUGAGGAAGACCAGUGGCGAAGGCGGGUCUCUGGACAGUUCCUGACACUGAGCACGAAGGCCAGGGGGAGCAAACGGG
Molecule: ribosomal RNA, 253 nt
Filed under: uncultured bacterium
Lineage: Bacteria
Description: partial 16S ribosomal RNA
Rfam family: Bacterial small subunit ribosomal RNA
Source: RNAcentral